AUGACUCUCGGCAACGGAUAUCUCGGCUCUUGCAUCGAUGAAGAACGUAGCGAAAUGCGAUACUUGGUGUGAAUUGCAGAAUCCCGUGAACCAUCGAGUCUUUGAACGCAAGUUGCGCCCGAAGCCAUUAGGUUGAGGGCACGCCUGCCUGGGUGUCACGC
This 161-nucleotide ribosomal RNA is filed under the name Indigofera oblonga. RNAcentral describes it as "5.8S ribosomal RNA". It matches the Rfam family "5.8S ribosomal RNA". From Rfam's summary of the family: 5.8S ribosomal RNA (5.8S rRNA) is a component of the large subunit of the eukaryotic ribosome. The record is from RNAcentral. Lineage: Eukaryota; Viridiplantae; Streptophyta; Magnoliopsida; Fabales; Fabaceae.